RNAcentral lists this unclassified non-coding RNA (300 nucleotides) under uncultured Mastigobasidium. RNAcentral's name for it is "sequence contains 5.8S rRNA gene, ITS2". The stretch from base 1 to 71 matches the Rfam family "5.8S ribosomal RNA", at positions 84 to 154 of the family's 154-position model. The record is from RNAcentral. Lineage: Eukaryota; Fungi; Basidiomycota; Microbotryomycetes; Leucosporidiales; Leucosporidiaceae.
GUGAAUCAUCGAAUCUUUGAACGCACCUUGCGCUCCUUGGUAUUCCGAGGAGCAUGUCUGUUUGAGUGUCAUGAACUCUUCAACCCAUCAGUUUCUUAUGAACUGGCUGGUGUUUGGUUUCUGAGCGCUGCUGGUCCACGGAUCGAGCUCGUUCGUAAUGCAUUAGCAUCUCUAAUUCGACUUCGGAUUGACUCAGUGUAAUAGACUAUUCGCUGAGGACACGCCUCACGGUGUGGCCGAAUGAGAUCUCAGUAGAAGCUGCCAACCCUUCUAGUCAAUUUAAGAUUAGACCUCAGAUCA